Molecule: ribosomal RNA, 433 nt
Filed under: uncultured bacterium
Lineage: Bacteria
Description: partial 16S ribosomal RNA
Rfam family: Bacterial small subunit ribosomal RNA
Source: RNAcentral
AACGAACGCUGGCGGCAUGCCUAACACAUGCAAGUCGAACGAGACCUUCGGGUCUAGUGGCGCACGGGUGCGUAACGCGUGGGAACCUGCCCUUAGGUUCAGAAUAACUCCCCGAAAGGGGUGCCAAUACCGGAUAAUGUCUUCGGACCAAAGAUUUAUCGCCUUUGGAUGGGCCCGCGUUGGAUUAGCUAGUUGGUAGGGUAAAAGCCUACCAAGGCGACGAUCCAUAGCUGGUCUGAGAGGAUGAUCAGCCACACUGGGACUGAGACACGGCCCAGACUCCUACGGGAGGCAGCAGUGGGGAAUAUUGGACAAUGGGCGAAAGCCUGAUCCAGCAAUGCCGCGUGAGUGAUGAAGGCCUUAGGGUUGUAAAGCUCUUUUACCCGGGAUGAUAAUGACAGUACCGGGAGAAUAAGCUCCGGCUAACUCCGUG